GAUGAACGCUAGCGGGAGGCCUAAUACAUGCAAGUCGAACGGUAAGGCUCCUUCGGGAGUACACGAGUGGCGAACGGGUGCGUAACGCGUACGAAACAUGCCUUUAUCAGGAGGAUAGCCCUGGGAAACUGGGAAUAAUACUCCAUAGUAUUAUAUGGUUGCAUAAUUAUAUAAUUAAAGUUCCGGCGGAUAAAGAUUGUCGUGCGUCCCAUUAGCUAGUUGGUGAGGUAACGGCUCACCAAGGCGACGAUGGGUAGCUGGUUUGAGAGGAUGAUCAGCCACACUGGUACUGAGACACGGACCAGACUCCUACGGGAGGCAGCAGUAGGGAAUAUUGGACAAUGGACGCAAGUCUGAUCCAGCCAUCCCGCGUGCAGGAUUAAGGCCCUCUGGGUUGUAAACUGCUUUUAUUAGAGAAGAAAACGGUUCAUUUAUGAGCUUUUGACGGUAUCUAAAGAAUAAGCACCGGCUAACUCCG
RNAcentral lists this ribosomal RNA (478 nucleotides) under uncultured Bacteroidota bacterium. RNAcentral describes it as "bacterial SSU rRNA". It matches the Rfam family "Bacterial small subunit ribosomal RNA", at positions 28 to 505 of the family's 1533-position model. Lineage: Bacteria; Pseudomonadati; Bacteroidota. The record is from RNAcentral.